CUCUUAAUUUAAAAGACAGUAGUUAAACUCUACUAUUAAGGG
This 42-nucleotide transfer RNA is filed under the name Diadema antillarum. Its description in RNAcentral is "partial tRNA-Lys". The record is from RNAcentral. Lineage: Eukaryota; Metazoa; Echinodermata; Echinoidea; Diadematoida; Diadematidae. RNAcentral also lists the same sequence under 1 other name.